CUACAGUAUAUCCUCCACCCAUUUCUCAGGCAUUCACAGCGGGCACGGCGAGGCAAGGAGAUGGGCCUCGGGGCCGCAGGGCCUCGUGACCCACUUACAACCCCCCCGAGACUGAUCGGCAUCGGCCUGCCAGUUACAGUUAUGUAACUGAUGCUGGGAAAAGCAAGGAGAAGAAUUACAAGAGUAAAAAAAAAGAAAGGAGUCCAAUGUCUACCAGUGAAGGGGCUCGUCAGAGAGGAUCAUCCCAUCAGAUGGGAUCUGGGCGGGAUGUCGGAUGCUCACACUAAUACCACGAUUCUGCUGCUGUUACACGGUUUAUGAAUCAAUGAAUGCCCUCAUUGGACAGUCACCCAUGGAGUAAAAAAUUGACAUUUGAGGCCCCCACUGAGAGACACCUACGCCCAUCACUGCGGGCAAGCACCAUCCCCACCGCGGCUUUCCCCCUCAUCACUCCGCUCCGCUUCUCGAGCUGUGAUCUGAUUGGCUGUUGGAGGGGUGAGGCUCACUGCAGAGGCAAGAACAGCGGGUGCAGGGUGGGGUGGGCUUCCCCCUCUAGGCACGACUCACACACACAUAACCAACCACCCACCUACACACACACACACACACACGCAGGGAAUCCCUCCUCACUGUUUGCCGCAUGUCUCGUUUUCCAUUACACGCCGCCAUCGAAUCGUUCACCGCAUAAUCACGUUGGGAAGCAGUGCGCACCAAAUGUGAUUGAGUGGUUUUGGUAAUCUGAGGUUUCUUUUUUCUUCUAAGGUUUACCAGAUUUCACCUUUUGUCAGGAGGAGUUUGAGCGUGACUCCCAGCGCUGUGUUAUUUAUAGGGGGGGUCUGGGGUCCAGAGCUGAUGGUUAUGCACGGCUCUGCCAUCACAGGGUAAGACGACACACACCGGGAGGCAGCUGUCGAGCUAAGCUUGGGUUUCACUGAUGUGUGAGAUUGGCGGUGUUUGUUUGUGACAGCAGCGAAGUUGGCAUGAGGGAGCCCCCAGUGGAUUGGGAGAGGGACGUAUUUCCAGUUCUGUGUUGUGAGGGUGUGUUUGUGUGUUGUGAAUGUUAGUAUGCGUGCGUCAGAGGGAGGAACACAGACACUGAAAGGGCACAGCGACCUUUUGUAUACUGUUAAAAUGUAUAAACAUUCUCAAUGUGAAUGUGGGAUAUUUAUACUGGUACGGACGGGUUAAUGUUUUAGGAACGAAAGGAUGCCACACAACUGUGGGUUUCUACAGUGCCAUUAUUUCAGACAAAGCUACUGAUGUAGCUAGAGAGAGUAUGUCGUGUGACAUAAAAGAUACAUCUCAUGCAAAAAGCAAAUUUAUCAAAUUAAAUGUUAAUGCGUUGUAAAAAAAAAGAAUAUAACACAACAUUAAUGUGGAUUUGUGCAUUUUGCCUUUUGGAAAGCCCACUGCACUGCAGCCCUUCUAAUAAUAACUGACCGUGAUAUGAAUGGAGAAGUCCAUAUUUGGUGAAGGAGCACGGAGGUGGGGGGUUAUCUCAUGCCCUAACGGUCACAGAUGACAUCAGUCUGGACUGAUCUGGACACUCUUACUCUCCCCCUUAUCUGCGAGAGAGACGAGGGUUGCGGUAGUUGUGUUGUGGCCGUGCACGGUGCCAGGAAGCGCGAGGCGGCCCGAAGCACGGCCACACUGUUACCCGAGGAAUGGGAGGAAUGUUUGAGGACCCAAUGUGAGAGACACGCGGAUCCCUUCGGCUCUGAUGAAAUCAUUUAAGACCAGUUGUGGGUUUUUAGAUCAGGUGAUUACAAUGCGUGUGUGUUGUGUGCGAGUUCGGUCGUCAGGUGACUGAUGGCAGGGCCAUCGAUAAGACCUGUAAAGCGAUCAGCUGAUUCCUUCAGCCCCUAUUUUUAGAAAGGAAUGUGUUGCACACGGUAAAACAUUUCAAGUCAGUUAAACAUGCAAAUGAAAGUUCACCUGCUGCCUUGAAAAUGUGAGUCAACAAAAUGUGAAGAUUGCCUUUGAUUUAACCCACAAAUCAAAGUUUAUUAAGUUGAUUUAAUUGAAAGGUUCUAGUUGUCUCAACUGUUUACUGUCUAAGUUGUUUUUUUUCACUUCUUGUUUGAACUUGAUAUAGCGAGUUAAAAGAAAAGAAUUGUUUUGCAUGUACCUGACUGACUGUUUGCUUUAAAACAAAAAACCUAAAUCAUCCAUAAUUCUUACUUCUGAUUUAAAAAAUAAAGCAUUCAUUUGCUGAAAAUAUACACAAGAUUUACAGUUGUGUUUAAGUACAUCUCAAACAUGCAAACACCCAGAUAGUUUAAAAACAAGUGCACAACGUACAAAUAGAGGCAAUCCGACAGAAGGUGGGGUUGUGGACUUAAGAAGGUGGGGUUGUGGACAUUUUCGUGGACCUCUUAAUUAUCUUCCAUUUGUCACUAUACAACCAUGAGAUAAUUAGAGGAGGUCCAUGAAAUCAACCAUGAAAAUGUUCUUUACUAAUACCUCAGACAGUCCAUAAAAUCAAUACAGUUAUACUUAUACAAAUACACACAAUAUUAAACAUUAUAUUAACAAAUGACCUAUGUUGACAACCAUGAGGAAAAAUAUGAGAUAAUAAAUGUAGGUUCAUAAAAUCUCAAUAUGACAUUAUAACAAAUCACCUUGCAAAAUGUGGAAUGCUGAGAACUUCAUGAAUUAGUUCUUACUUUUUUUUCUUUGUUGUAAUCUCUUCUUGUGUUUAAAAACCAACCUGAACUUACAGAACACUUUGGUAGGUUUUUAACUUUUACAUUCAUGAACCAAACAUGACGUGCGUAACAGGCGACGUCCAAGUAGUUUGCAUUGUUGCUGAUUAUUGGUACGGUUUAAUGUCUAUAACGACCUUUUCAAGGAACUCAAAGGUCAACUUCAGAAUUAAAUAUUCAAUUUAAAAAAGAAGUUAAAUAAAGAUUUGAAGAAAAAUAACGUAAAGGUAAAUACAUCAGCAGCUAAACAACUGUUACAUUAGUAACAUUAAACAUUAUGUUAAUUAAGAACUAGACAAUGCUUGCUGAAUGCGUUGGAAUGAGAUUGAGGAAGAAGGAUUUCAAAGUUGAAGAAGUUCUAGGGGGAUUUGAAAAAGAUCUCCAUUGAAAAAACAUGUUAAAAAUAUAAAUAUUAAUUGAUGUUAAAUCAAGCAUAAAAUGUACAAAGCUGAAAAUGAAUAUCUUACUGGGUCGACGGUUUUAAGAGCUGAAAAUUUGAAGGAGCUGAAAACGUUUGAAAUAUGCAUGGAAGAAAUAGAAAGAUAAAGAGCAAAAUAAAUUGAGUCAUAAUACUGUAAGUUUAACUUUCGAGAAGAGUUUAUAUACAUCUCUUCCUUUUUCGCAUGUCCUUAGGUGAAAUGCCAUCUUGCGUCAUGCCCGGUAGGAAAUUGUAAUUGCUCAUGACGAGUAAUCGUACAGCCGUGGCUGAUGUGAAUGAGUUAAGUCUGGCAAAGCUAUGAAAAUGUAUAAAAUGUUAAACAAAUGACUUUUUACCUAUUAAUGUCACUAGGUUGAGCCAGAAUCCGGCAGAAUCCUCCCCUGGGGAUUAUGAAUAUCUGGAUAAAAAUUAUAUUAAUGUUAUAUUGUAUAUUGUACCUGCUGAAGGUGUCCUCUCAUCAAUGUGUGAAUGAUGAUUUGUGUUUUAAAGCGCUUUGAGUGGUCAAAAGACAGUAGAAAAGUGACAUAAAAGCACAGUGUUUUUAGUCUUUUCAGGAGAUUUUAUGCCAGUAACAAAAAUAAAGAUUCCCGCCAACCAUGCACUUUUAUG
Gasterosteus aculeatus aculeatus (three-spined stickleback) is the source of this 3753-nucleotide long non-coding RNA. The record is from Ensembl. NCBI's taxonomy places the organism in Eukaryota, Metazoa, Chordata, Actinopteri, Perciformes, Gasterosteidae.